AGAGUUUGAUCAUGGCUCAGGACGAACGCUGGCGGCGUGCCUAAUACAUGCAAGUCGAACGAACUCUGUAUUGAUUGGUGCUUGCAUCAUGAUUUACAUUUGAGUGAGUGGCGAACUGGUGAGUAACACGUGGGAAACCUGCCCAGAAGCGGGGGAUAACACCUGGAAACAGAUGCUAAUACCGCAUAACAACUUGGAUCGCAUGGUCCGAGUUUGAAAGAUGGCUUCGGCUAUCACUUUUGGAUGGUCCCGCGGCGUAUUAGCUAGAUGGUGGGGUAACGGCUCACCAUGGCAAUGAUACGUAGCCGACCUGAGAGGGUAAUCGGCCACAUUGGGACUGAGACACGGCCCAAACUCCUACGGGAGGCAGCAGUAGGGAAUCUUCCCCAAUGGACGAAAGUCUGAUGGAGCAACGCCGCGUGAGUGAAGAAGGGUUUCGGCUCGUAAAACUCUGUUGUUAAAGAAGAACAUAUCUGAGAGUAACUGUUCAGGUAUUGACGGUAUUUAACCAGAAAGCCACGGCUAACUACGUGCCAGCAGCCGCGGUAAUACGUAGGUGGCAAGCGUUGUCCGGAUUUAUUGGGCGUAAAGCGAGCGCAGGCGGUUUUUUAAGUCUGAUGUGAAAGCCUUCGG
Molecule: ribosomal RNA, 633 nt
Filed under: uncultured bacterium
Lineage: Bacteria
Description: bacterial SSU rRNA
Rfam family: Bacterial small subunit ribosomal RNA
Source: RNAcentral